RNAcentral lists this ribosomal RNA (253 nucleotides) under uncultured bacterium. RNAcentral's name for it is "partial 16S ribosomal RNA". It matches the Rfam family "Bacterial small subunit ribosomal RNA", at positions 524 to 776 of the family's 1533-position model. The record is from RNAcentral.
UACGGAGGAGGCAAGCGUUAUCCGGAAUUAUUGGGCGUAAAGCGUCCGUAGGUGGUUGGCCAAGUCUGCUGUCAAAGGGUGGGGCUUAACCUCAUAAAGGCAGUGGAAACUGGCGAGCUAGAGAGCGGUAGGGGUAGGGGGAAUUCCCAGUGUAGCGGUGAAAUGCGUAAGGAUUGGGAAGAACAUCGGUGGCGAAAGCGCCCUGCUGGGCCUGCACUGACACUGAGGGACGAAAGCUAGGGGAGCGAAAGGG